RNAcentral lists this long non-coding RNA (691 nucleotides) under Bos taurus (domestic cattle). Its description in RNAcentral is "long non-coding RNA NONBTAT016730". The record is from RNAcentral. Lineage: Eukaryota; Metazoa; Chordata; Mammalia; Artiodactyla; Bovidae.
UUUUUUUAGGAGCAAGUUAUUGGUUUAGUUGUUUUUUUUUUUUUUAACAUCCAAAGGACCUAAAAUUCAGGCUCUGGAAAUAACACAGACAAGACCUAUGUGUGUGCUGACAGCAAGGGAAAGCUAACCGCAUCAAACAUCAGUGUCCGACUUCAGCAUCAGGACUGUGGUCCCAACCACGGUGCCUCCAGGAAGUUCAGACGCAGGUACCACGGACAGGCUGUCCACCACUCAUCAACCACUAGAUGGCGCCACUAAUGGGCUAUCCUAUCCACAGUGUAGACCCACAGAACCAAACUCGACCUGGACCUUUCAACCCACUGGAGAGAGUCCUGGUGGGGUCUGAUGGAUAAAUCCAGGUGGCGGUUCCUCAGUUCCAACAUGGUACCUGGCCUUCUUCCAUUCUCAGCCUGACUCCCUGCAGAGAGGGAAAGCCAAUCCUUUGGCCAAGUCCACCUUCUCAUCUUUCUGUCUCUACGGAGCCCAAGCCGACAGUGCUUGGGUGUUACCGUGUGGACAACACACUCCCGUGCUAGCUACACAGGGUUAACUGGGGAGGGUAAAUUAGCGUGGAGACGUCCUAUAAUUGGAAAUGCACCAAGAACACGAACAUCAUCCCCAUAACAAUCAGCUCCUCUCAGAAACUGGCUGGCCAGGGAUCGCCCCAAAGGAGCUGGAAACCAUUUCUAGA